UCCCUGUUAUCUCAACUGGUAAAGAAUCCACCUGUAAUGCAGAAAAUCCUGGUUCAAUUCCUGGGUGGGGAA
This 72-nucleotide transfer RNA is filed under the name Ovis aries (sheep). It matches the Rfam family "tRNA". From Rfam's summary of the family: Transfer RNA (tRNA) molecules are approximately 80 nucleotides in length. Their secondary structure includes four short double-helical elements and three loops (D, anti-codon, and T loops). Lineage: Eukaryota; Metazoa; Chordata; Mammalia; Artiodactyla; Bovidae. The record is from Rfam by way of RNAcentral.